Molecule: long non-coding RNA, 671 nt
Organism: Leopardus geoffroyi (Geoffroy's cat)
Lineage: Eukaryota; Metazoa; Chordata; Mammalia; Carnivora; Felidae
Exons: 3
Source: RefSeq, a predicted model, not a curated record
ACUGUCCACGCAGGAUCUGGGCCUUGCCCACUGAAGGCUGGCUUUAAAGCUGCCAGUCCAGAGUCCUGCCCACGGAGGGGCUGAGCUGGAUUUCUCACUCUAGUUGCAGUAAACUUUCCUGCCCCUUCACGUGUUCCUCCCAGCAAGGCUGAGACGACCCAAACUCCGGCUGCCCGAGGAGAGGGACCGCGGGGCCGCCCGACCCUUCGUCACCGAGCGGGAUCGCCGCCCUCCAGGCCGCCCACCUCCAAUGCUCCGGGCGGCGCAGCCCGCGCCUCUGCAGACCCGGGACGAAAGCGGGCGUGGGGCGCUCAGGGGGAGCAGCGCGCGCCUAUCCGCCGGCCCGCCCCCACCCCCGCACGACGUCACCCGGAUCACUCUUUUUUGACUGUGUGUCAGUAAUGCCAAUCUCCGUGAUGAAGCCCAGGCACGAAGGAGAAAGCCGUAUUGUGUGCCAGCACUGGGCCCUACACGUUCUGCAUCUUACCUUCACGAAAACACUCUGAGGUGGCUCAGCCUGCCAGAACAAAAGUAAAACCACAGAGAGAAGAUUUAGAUCAGCCUCUUGAUCGCCCUGCUGCUACUUUACAGUUUUAGGAGGGGUUGAACAUCAAGCACUUGAAACUGUCAUCUACACAUUCCUUCUCAGAAUAAAGCAGCAUUAGCAUGUA